UGGGGAAUAUUGCACAAUGGGGGAAACCCCGAUGCAGCAACGCCGCGUGAAGGAAGACGGUUUUCGGAUUGUAAACUUCUUUUCUUAGUGAAGAAGAAAGUGACGGUAGCUAAGGAAUAAGCAUCGGCUAACUACGUG
Molecule: ribosomal RNA, 138 nt
Filed under: uncultured Bacillota bacterium
Lineage: Bacteria; Bacillati; Bacillota
Description: uncultured Firmicutes bacterium partial 16S ribosomal RNA
Rfam family: Bacterial small subunit ribosomal RNA
Source: RNAcentral